CAAAACUAUUCGUAAGGCCAGCACGCCUUGGAACCCACGUCGAGAGGAGUUGCGCUAACAAACCUCCGCCACCGCAAGGUAUAGGUUUCAGUAAGAAGACGCUAUCAAUUUGAUUUUCUCUAUGGCAACAUUAUCUGGUGUCAAUGUAAUCAAUUAUGAUAAGACUAUGGAUAUGUCGAGAAAAGAGUUUUUCGGUUGUGCUCGUAAGACACAUGGCCCCGAGUUAUGCGAGGAAGGGUGCCAAUUUGUAAUACGUGAGCAACAGAAAAGAAACAAUGAUCAGUGGCGGCCUACAAAGUACCCUAAGGGCACCUUCCUGAGUCUACCUCGUAAUGUUGAACCGCCUGUUAACGUGCUACUACGGACCUCUCACUCUUAAGAGUUUGGCCAGUCACACGAGUCCCUACUACAGGAACUCGGUGAUUACAGAAAGUCCUGCCUGGUCAGAUUCUGAUGAUGAAUCUCACUACUACGAAUUACCCAAGUGGCUGGUCGGUCGAAAUCCUAAGCAUGAAGUGCCUAGAGAUUUCAUGAAAGGCACUACUGCCUGUAAGGAGGCUACUGAAGCAGGUCAUUCUGCUCCAGCCAAGGUUAUUGAGGCUGGUAAAUCUGCUGAGGACCUGUCUGAGGAGAUUUCUAAAGAGCAUGAAAUAGGUAGUAGUAAGACGAGUUCUUCUUGUAAGAGAGAUGAUUAUUCAGCUGAGGAUGAGUUGGAUGCUGAAGAGAUGAUGAAGAGGGUGGUCGGUCGAAAUCCUAACCAUGAAGUGCCUAGUGAUUUCAUGAAAGGCACUACUGCUUGUAAGGAGGUUACUGAAGCAGGUCAUUUAGAAGAAGCUCGACUAUGGUGGCUUGCUCCAGCCAAGGUUAUUGAGGCUGGUAAGUCGGAGAUUUCUAAAGAGCAUGAGAGUUUGGAUCUCGAUGUUGAUUCUGAGAGGGAAAGCGCUAUUGGGUAGUAGUAAGAUGAGGUCUUCUAGUAAGAGAGAUGAUUACUCAGAUGAGGAUGAGUUAGAUGCUAAAGAGAUGAAGAAGCUAGGUACGACAAAGAGAAAGAGAAGCAAGAGAUGAUAAGUCUGUUGAAAAGGCAAUGGAAAACUUUUUCGGUUGUGCUCGUAAGGCACAUGACCCAGAGUCAUGGAGGAAGGGUGUCAAUUUGUAAUGCUUGAGCAACAGUGAAGAAACAAUCGUCAGUGGCCGCCUACAAAGUACCCUAAGGGCACCUUCCUGAGUUUAGCUGGUUACAUUGAACCGCUGUCUUUCUAUGAAGAUCUCACACUUAAGAGGUUGGCCAGUCAGGAUGGACCAGAAAAGUAUUCUUCUGGUCCAGAUUUAUGCCUUGAGGGUUCCAGUAAGAGUCCCUACAGGAACUCACUGAUCGCAGAAACGCCUGCCUGGUUAGAUUACAUAACUGAUGAAGGCCACUACAAUGAAGUGCCCACGAGGGUGGCUGGUCCAAAUCCUAACUAUGAAGUUCCAAGUGAUUUCAUAGAAGGCACUACUGCUACCGAGGUCAUUUACAAGAAGCUUACUGCAGCCAAGGCUGUUGAGGCUGGCAAGUCUGCCAAAGACCUGUCUGAGGAGAUUUGUAAAGAGAAUGAGAGUUCAGAUUGUGAUGUUGAUUCAGAGAGGGAAAGGGAAAGCAUAAUUGCUUUCUAGUAAAAGCAAUAAAUAUUCAGAUGAGGAAUGGAAACGACAAUCACUUUCUUAGCUAGCAUCACUUAUAAAUCCAAAAAAGUUGGAUAUUUACUUGCAAAUGUUACAAUUUCCCUGCAUCAACGGGGUUUUGGUAGACAAUGCAACAGGUCCAGUGACAUUGUAAACCUCAUUUUUCAGUGGCAACAUCCUCUACCAGAUGACAUGCCACAUUAUAAGUUUUUCUGCAGCUGGGGUAAAAAGUAAAAACCAAGUAAUGGCAAUCUGAACAUUUUAUAACCUAUCUGAUGGAGUAUUUUCUUUUCUUUGGCUUUACUUGUUUACAUGUAUAAGACUUUUUUCAUCGGCCCCUGCAAUUAAUCACCCCUCUGCUCUAUUUGGUAGCCAAUUCCAAGAUGUGCAUUGUAAGUACUCGCUAGGACCUAUUCUGUGAUUUUUGCAUUCUUGUAACCAACAGUGCAAGUCCAAACUAUACAGAAAUGGCAAUACCCUGCCGUGGUGUGCAGGCUGUUACUAACCCU
Papaver somniferum (opium poppy) is the source of this 2171-nucleotide long non-coding RNA. RefSeq lists it as uncharacterized. The record is from RefSeq and is a predicted model, not a curated record. The transcript is spliced from 9 exons. NCBI's taxonomy places the organism in Eukaryota, Viridiplantae, Streptophyta, Magnoliopsida, Ranunculales, Papaveraceae.